GAUGAACGCUGGCGGCGCGCCUAAUACAUGCAAGUCGAGCGAACGGACGAGAAGCUUGCUUCUCUGAUGUUAGCGGCGGACGGGUGAGUAACACGUGGAUACCCUACCUAUAAGACUGGGAUAACUUCGGGAAACCGUAGCUAAUACCGGAUAAUAUUUUGAACCGCAUGGUUCAAAAGUGAAAGACGGUCUUGCUGUCACUUAUAGAUGGAUCCGCGCUGCAUUAGCUAGUUGGUAAGGUAACGGCUUACCAAGGCAACGAUGCAUAGCCGACCUGAGAGGGGGAACGGCCACACUGGGACUGAGACACGACCCAGACUCCUAGGGAAGGCAGCGGAAGGUAAUCUUCCGAAAAGGGCGAAAGCCUGACGGAGCAACGCCGCGGGGGUGAUGAAGGUCUUCGGAUCGUAAAACUCUGUUAUUAGGGAAGAACAUAUGUGUAAGUAACGGUGCGCAUCUUGACGGUACCUGAACAGAAAGCCACGGCUAACUACGU
RNAcentral lists this ribosomal RNA (496 nucleotides) under uncultured bacterium. Its description in RNAcentral is "partial 16S ribosomal RNA". It matches the Rfam family "Bacterial small subunit ribosomal RNA", at positions 28 to 506 of the family's 1533-position model. The record is from RNAcentral.